This 1342-nucleotide long non-coding RNA is filed under the name Numida meleagris (helmeted guineafowl). RNAcentral's name for it is "lncRNA (ENSNMEG00000004130.1)". The record is from RNAcentral. Lineage: Eukaryota; Metazoa; Chordata; Aves; Galliformes; Numididae.
GGGGGGGAGGGGACGCACAGGGACCAAGGGACAACAGGGACACCAGUAUCACCAGUAUCACCAGUAUCACCAGUAUCACCAGUCCCAGUGUCACCAGUAUCACCAGUAUCACCAGUCCCAGUGUCCCCAGUGUCCCCAGUCCCAGUGUCCCAAGUCCCAGUAUCACCAGUGACACCAGUCCCAGUGUCACCAGUAUCACCAGUGUCCCCAAUCCCAGUAUCACCAGUGACACCAGUGUCCCCAGUCCCAGUGUCACCGGUGUCACCAGUGACACCAGUGACACCAGUCCCGGUGUCCCCAGUAUCCCCAGUGUCACCAGUGUCACCAGUGUCCCCAGUCCCAGUGUCCCCAGUCCACCCAGUCCCAGUCCCCCCAGUCCCAGUGUCCCCAGUGUCACCAGUAUCCCCAGUGUCCCCAGUCCCAGUGUCACCAGUGACACCAGUGACACCAGUGACACCAGUAUCACCAGUCCCAGUGUCCCCAGUCCCAGUGUCACCAGUGUCCCCAGUGUCCCCAGUGUCCCCAGUCCCAGUGUCCCCAGUCCCAGUGUCACCAGUGACACCAGUCCCAGUGUCCCCAGUCCCAGUGUCCCCAGUGUCCCCAGUGUCCCCAGUCCCAGUGUCACCAGUAUCACCAGUGUCCCCAGUGUCCCCAGUCCCAGUGUCACCAGUAACACCAGUGACACCAGUCCCAGUCCCCCCAGUCCCAGUGUCCCCAGUGUCCCCCAGUCCCAGUGUCCCCAGUAUCACCAGUCCCAGUGUCCCCAGUCCCAGUGUCCGCAGUCCCAGUAUCACCAGUGUCCCCAGUCCCAGUAUCCCCAGUCCCAGUAUCACCAGUGACACCAGUCCCAGUGUCCCCAGUGUCACCAGUAUCCCCAGUGUCCCCAGUGUCCCCAGUCCCAGUGUCACCAGUGUCCCCAGUCCCAGUAUCCCCAGUUCCAUCCCAGUAUCCCCAGUUCCAUCCCAGUUCCAUCCCAGUUCCCUCCCAGUUCCUUCCCAGUUCCGUCCCAGUUCCAUCCCAGUUCCCUCCCAGUAUCCCCAGUUCCAUCCCAGUUCCAUCCCAGUUCCCUCCCAGUAUCCCCAGUUCCAUCCCAGUUCCCUCCCAGUAUCCCCAGUUCUCUCCCAGUAUCCCCAGUUCCGUCCCAGUUCCAUCCCAGUUCCAUCCCAGUAUCCCCAGUUCCCUCCCAGUUCCCUCCCAGUAUCCCCAGUUCCAUCCCAGUAUCCCCAGUUCCGUCCCAGUUCCAUCCCAGUUCCCUCCCAGUAUCCCCAGUUCCCUCCCAGUUCCAUCCCAGUAUCCCCAGUCCCAUCCCAGUUCCCUCCCAGUAUCCCCAGUUCCCCCCCAG